This 986-nucleotide long non-coding RNA is filed under the name Mytilus galloprovincialis (Mediterranean mussel). Lineage: Eukaryota; Metazoa; Mollusca; Bivalvia; Mytilida; Mytilidae. The record is from RNAcentral.
CAGUGGAUUCUUAAAAAAUAAUCCACUGACCACCAUGUUAACUUAAGAUAACUUAUGUCAUAACUUUAAGCUUUUAACUUACGAAAUGUAAUCCUCUCAAAAACGAGUGACAGAUGAAAGGUUCGAUCCCGCGCGUAUUUUCGUCAGUGAAGUUUGUAGUCUAUGCAUGAUACCACUAGACCACGAGCACUUAUAUAAAAUAAUAUUUUAAUAUCACUCUUAAAGCGUAUAUUGGUCAAUACAUGUCAAUAAACUGUAUUUAUGUCUUUUUGAUAUAUAAUAAAAUAAAUAACACCAUACAAUCAAGGAAUUGUAAGUAUUACUUAUUAGAACAGUUCCUUUAUAAAAUAAACAUCCAUGAACACAUUACACUUAUCACUUUUAACGUACAAGGCCUUCCCCUUUUCAUCAUAACAAAUUUUUACUUUUGGAAUUAGUAUUAUAAUGCUAUCAUACCAUCACUUUUUGUUUGUUUGAUUAUAAAUGGUUCAAAUAUACAUCAACAUUUAACUGUCUCUAAUGUGAAUAAAUUGUGAUAAGCUACAACUGUAAAACUACUUCUUUGACUCUAAAACCAGAAACAAAAUCGUCAACUUGUUAUGAAAAAUGAAAUAUAAAUACCUCUCAGAUUAAAAAAAGUAAAAUGAAAAAAAAAAUAUUCCCGGUCCUAGGUUUGAACUUGGUACUGUUGGUAUCCAAGUUGUUUCUUUCUGUGCCAACGACUAGACGAUCACGGCUAUGAACAGAUUACAUGACAGGGAUGCCAAAUGUAAUAACGUUGAAAUAAUCUAAACAUAAUGAAAGCGAACCAGUUUACACAAUAUUUAUAUAUUAUUGUUCAGUGAAGACCAAUCAAGGUAUUUAUUUUGUCAUCAACUGUGAGGUGGUUUUAUAGUGGCAUUUAUACUUCAUUCAGAUUUUAGAUAAUCUUAGUCCGUUUGUAAAUAUAUUGUAAAUCCCAACAAAUGAAUUGUAUUAAUACUAUU